Molecule: long non-coding RNA, 595 nt
Filed under: Lathyrus oleraceus (garden pea)
Lineage: Eukaryota; Viridiplantae; Streptophyta; Magnoliopsida; Fabales; Fabaceae
Description: Pisum sativum (pea) long non-coding RNA (PSAT_LNC010958)
Source: RNAcentral
UUUCUGUUAAAACAGUUUCGGUGGUGUAUUUGGUUCUUCUGUCGCCUGCAUAAACUUUUGUUUCGAAUCAUAAUGUCAGCACCAGACAACCCUCCAUUUUGUGAUACUAAAGGUUCUGAUAGCCGCUGUAGCAACCACUCAAUGUUGUGAAAUCUGCAAGUGCAAUUACUGGAAAAAAGUGAUUUUGAAAAGAAAGACUUGGCAGUGGACAUCAAAGAGCUUCCUCCACACCAACCAUAACCUGCAAAAAUUAAACCAAAUCACAUUGGUCACUAUCAAAACCACACAUCUACAAGAAGUUCACAGUGUUGCAGAAUAAUACAAUCUUUUUGUAAAUAAUACGAAUUUAGAACUAAGCUCUUUUGCUCUCAAGGCUUUCGGUCAUAUUUCAGCUGAGCAUUAUUUGUAACUCUUGUUUUGGAUUGAAACCUGGAAGCAACCCUGGUGCAGUCUUCCUAAGGAGAAACUAGAGAAAAUUGGGAUGAACUGUAAACCCAUCAGUAGAAAUUAUGUAUGGGAAAUUGAUGCAAGCUGUGAUUGAAAGCUGUGAUCAAAACCGAAACCGAAACCGCCUUUGAAUCUUCAAUAUUUUUUU